AUUUACAUAGUUUAAUAACAAACAUUUUAUUUUCGUUAAAAAGAAGGUAUACCCACCUGUAAAUU
Molecule: transfer RNA, 65 nt
Filed under: Orosius orientalis
Lineage: Eukaryota; Metazoa; Arthropoda; Insecta; Hemiptera; Cicadellidae
Description: tRNA-Glu
Source: RNAcentral